This 795-nucleotide ribosomal RNA is filed under the name uncultured archaeon. Its description in RNAcentral is "bacterial SSU rRNA". It matches the Rfam family "Archaeal small subunit ribosomal RNA", at positions 85 to 878 of the family's 1478-position model. The record is from RNAcentral.
ACUGCUCAGUAACACGUGGAUAACCUGCCCUUGGGUCCGGCAUAACCCCGGGAAACUGGGGAUAAUUCCGGAUAACGCAUAUGUGCUGGAAUGCUUUAUGCGUAAAAUGGAUUCGUCUGCCCAAGGAUGGGUCUGCGGCCUAUCAGGUAGUAGUGGGUGUAAUGUACCUACUAGCCGACGACGGGUACGGGUUGUGAGAGCAAGAGCCCGGAGAUGGAUUCUGAGACAUGAAUCCAGGCCCUACGGGGCGCAGCAGGCGCGAAAACUUUACAAUGCGGGAAACCGUGAUAAGGGGACACCGAGUGCCAGCAUCAUAUGCUGGCUGUCCGGGUGUGUAAAAUACACCUGUUAGCAAGGGCCGGGCAAGACCGGUGCCAGCCGCCGCGGUAACACCGGCGGCCCGAGUGGUGAUCGUGAUUAUUGGGUCUAAAGGGUCCGUAGCCGGUUUGGUCAGUCCUCCGGGAAAUCUGACGGCUCAACCGUUAGGCUUUCGGGGGAUACUGCCAGGCUUGGAACCGGGAGAGGUAAGAGGUACUACAGGGGUAGGAGUGAAAUCUUGUAAUCCCUGUGGGACCACCUGUGGCGAAGGCGUCUUACCAGAACGGGUUCGACGGUGAGGGACGAAAGCUGGGGGCACGAACCGGAUUAGAUACCCGGGUAGUCCCAGCCGUAAACGAUGCUCGCUAGGUGUCAGGCAUGGCGCGACCGUGUCUGGUGCCGCAGGGAAGCCGUGAAGCGAGCCACCUGGGAAGUACGGCCGCAAGGCUGAAACUUAAAGGAAUUGGCGGGGGAGCA